GGGUCUGUAGCUCAGUGGUUAGAGCAGAAGCCUCUUAAGCUUUGUGUCCUGGGUUCGAAUCCCAGCAGACUCA
RNAcentral lists this transfer RNA (73 nucleotides) under Pseudomonadales bacterium. RNAcentral describes it as "tRNA-Lys". It matches the Rfam family "tRNA". Rfam says of the family: Transfer RNA (tRNA) molecules are approximately 80 nucleotides in length. The record is from RNAcentral. Lineage: Bacteria; Pseudomonadati; Pseudomonadota; Gammaproteobacteria; Pseudomonadales.